AUCGACCUGGUCAUGGGGCAGCUGGCAC
RNAcentral lists this non-coding RNA (28 nucleotides) under Cricetulus griseus (Chinese hamster). Lineage: Eukaryota; Metazoa; Chordata; Mammalia; Rodentia; Cricetidae. The record is from RNAcentral.